Long non-coding RNA from Vulpes vulpes (red fox), 2132 nucleotides. The record is from Ensembl. Lineage: Eukaryota; Metazoa; Chordata; Mammalia; Carnivora; Canidae.
CGAUUUAAGUGCCGCCGACCUGUUGCCUCACGUUGGCCAGAGGCGGGGAAGCAGCAAGGAAAAAUUCUGCAGCAGGGACUUGACUGGCCUCAGUCUUCAAGGUAGGAGGCUGGACCCAUGGGCUGGCGGCGGCGCUUGCCAUGACAUCUUGGUGGCAGGGGGAACUGUGGACCGGACGCCAGGAAGCUAGCCCCGGAGCUGCCCAGGCAGGGGGCCGCAGGCACCCCAAACUCCCUGGUCCUCAUUCCCAGACGAGAGUGAGGGGAAGCAGCGGCCUAGGCAUCUGGGAGGUCAGCCCAUCCCCACCCCGCUUUCCCCAGAGGCCCUGGCGUUGCCACCUGAACGCCAGUGAAUGGAGGGGAAUGAGCUGGGGGAGGCCCCAGGGAAGGCUGUAGAAGGAAAAGAUGCUGCCACCCUUUGCUCCCUUGGGGGACCAGACAGGAAAGCUGGUUGUGCUCUUGGCCAAAGCGCUGGUCAGGCCUCUUCUCAUCCCUCAGGCCCCUGGGGUCUGGGCAGCUCACGCCCAGCGCUUGGCAGAAUUGCAUCUGCCCGGUGCUGGUGUCCAGGGGACUGCUCUGGGCCUGCUUCUGCUGUGCCUGCUGCUCCCCUCCCCCCAGGGGCAUCCUCUGGCGCUGGGCAUUUGGACAUUUGGAGACCUAGAGUGGAAAGGUCGCCCCGCCCUAUCCCUGCCCCCACAGUCUCUCUCUUGCACCAUCACAGCCACCCUCCCUCCAGCCUCUACCUCUGCCCUCCCGAUGCUGCUGAGUGCCGCCUCCAGCAGUCUCUGUGCACCCAGAGCAUCCGGGGAAAUGGGGAUCUCCUUGAGCAGCCGGCAGGCAGUUCUCAGGCUCGCGUGGCAAAAGCAGGUGGAGGAGGGGCUUGGGAGGAGACAGCACUUGGGGAAACCGUCACCACUCUUCGUGGGGAGGCCACGCUGUGAAAUCUCCAUCUCUUUCUGUCUUUCAGGAGCCAGUGUUUGCUCAGGCCCCCAAGCCCAGGAUCACUCAGAGAACCUUCUCUGGAUGGGCUUGGAUUGGCCCCGGAGGACCCAGGUGUACUGCUACCUGGUGCACCAGGAUGGCCAGGCAUGGCCCCAAGGGGAGCCAGGAAAGACCCCUGUCCCACAGCUGCUCUGCCACUGGUUGCUCUUGGCCCCCACGCUCUGAAUUCCUGGACCUGAAAACCAAAGCAAUCUGGUCAGCCCCAGGGACAGAGUGGCCCAGUGUCACACCUCCUGCUUUCCUCAGCUGCCAAGCCGGAAGCCUGAUCCUGAUUGAAGAGCCCUGCCUGCCUCACCCCGGGGACUGAGGCCAGACGAAGCCACCAUGUGGCCCCUGCAGCUCCCCACAGGGUGUGAUGGCUUCCUUCCUUGUGCCUAGUGUCCUGGGAUCCCUGAUCCGGGUGGCGCCUCCCAUACCCCAACCCUUUCCACUGAGGUCCAGUUCGGAAGCCUGCCAGCCUGCUGACUCCAUCUACAGAUGUCUGGGGACAGCCUUCAACAGCCACCUGGGGCUGUCUGAGAGGAGAGGACGAGGGGCCUCCUUAGGGCUGAUCCACUGAUGUGCCCCUUUCAAGACCCCCCCCCCUCAAGUGACCUGCUCCCCAGCUGCAGUCUUGUGGCUCAGGUGGAGCUGCCUGGGGCCUGUGACAUCUCUUGCUCCCGCGGAGAGGGGUGGGGGAAGCCUCAGGGCUCCCCUCCCCUGCAGGAAGGUCCAUCCUGUGCCACCCCCUCCCCCAAGGUACAGGGUGUCCCAGAGCAGCCCCCAAGGGUCAGGGGAGGGGAUGCACGUCUUUCGCCCGUGUUCCUGCCACUGCUUUUCUGACCGGUUUGGCCUUGAGUACUUAGCGCGCUUCUUCCCCACCCCUUCCCUCUCCCGCACUGGGCCCUGGCUGCCUGACAGGCUCUCCAUGCACUUUAUUUAUUUGCAGUCUGAGUUCCAGGCGGCAGAGCUUCUACAGCAUCAGAGCCAGGGGCUGAAUAUGAUGACUGUCACUUUCCCGUGUGUGAUUAACUGCUGGUCAGCGCCGCCUGCUCAGAGGAAUGGGCUCGUUUGUGCUGUCAAAUCCUGUCACUCUAAGUUAAAAAGAAAACCCUCCCUAAGUUCAAUAAAAUGAAAUACAAGUGGAGGCCA